GAAGAGCGUAGUCGAUGGGAAACGGGUUAAUAUUCCCGUACUUCUAGUUACUGCGAUGGGGGGACGGAGAAGGCUAGGCCAGCAAGGCGUUGGUUGUCCUUGUUUAAGGUGGUAGGCAGAGAUCUUAGGUAAAUCCGGGAUCUUAAUGCCGAGAGCUGAUGACGAGCUUUCUUUUAGAAAGCGAAGUGGUUGAUGCCAUGCUUCCAGGAAAAGCCUCUAAGCUUCAGGUAACUAGGAACCGUACCCCAAACCGACA
RNAcentral lists this ribosomal RNA (256 nucleotides) under Stutzerimonas stutzeri. RNAcentral's name for it is "Pseudomonas stutzeri 23S ribosomal RNA". It matches the Rfam family "Bacterial large subunit ribosomal RNA", at positions 1404 to 1659 of the family's 2925-position model. The record is from RNAcentral. Lineage: Bacteria; Pseudomonadati; Pseudomonadota; Gammaproteobacteria; Pseudomonadales; Pseudomonadaceae.